GAUAACCAGCCUUCUGUGUUUUUGUCUCCCUGGCACUCCAUCUGUUUCUCUUUUUCUCUACCAUUCACACAAGCACAAACCCUACGCCACUAUUCAAAACCACCACCACCAAAAAUGUCUCACGGCGUGGUGGGGCCGCCCUGUUUCCCCACCGUGAGGUCGGUGGCGAACUGACCAAGGCAGAGAGCAAACACGAUGAAUGUGGCUAACACGAAACGUAACAGGAGCAGCGUUGGAGCAGUAGUGGGGUUCGGUGGAGAGAUGAAGGAAGUUCGGUAGCAGUGCGUGGAGCCGCCUGCACUCCACCAUUGCUGAUCCUCUCGAUUCCUCUUGCAUCAGGUGCUUAACUUUGACAGAUUCUCCUGGACCACAGGUUCAUCAAAGCCUAAAUACGGAUUAUGGAUUGUUUAAAUGGUUGAGCUUCUGUGCCUAGAAAUUCUUUGCAGGAAGUUGGUGAACCAAUGCACAUGAAACAGAGGUGGAAAAUGGAGGCCAUUGAGAAAUGUGAUGUGUUGGUGUACACGAAGAUCUUCUUAAAGUUUCCAUAUAAGUUCUGGCCUUGUGGACACGAGCAGAGAGGUUACUACACGUUCUGGCAGGUUCGUCUAAUUUAUUCAGAAUUACUUUACUUGCAUCCUAAAAGUCAUCGUGUUUAUUUUAUUUUAUUUUAUUUCGUACUGGGUGUGUUUUGUUAUUUCAUGGAUCGUGAAUCAUUCUACUGAAUUAUCUGUGUGUGGACGGCAUUUCCCUUCACCCAUCUAUCAAUUUUAUUCUAAUCCUUCUAUCACUUGUUCUACAUGACAAAUAGCAUUUUUAAGACUUGUUGUUUGGGAUGAUCUAAAUAAGUGUACUUUUUGACUUUUUAUGAAAUAUGGGUUGGGUUUGAAGUGAUGUGUUAGAGAGGUGAUGUGACUUAAAUAAGAUGAUGUGACUUAAAUAGGAUAAUGACCUUUUGACUUUUUGUCUUUUUUCAAUCAUGCCAAACUUGGCCUUAUUGUCUUCUAUUGCAGUUUAUUUUGAGUAUCUAACGGCUUUUGCUUUGUUUAUUUGGGUAGGCCUUCAGAUUCACUCUUCAAUGAUCAUAGGCAGCCUGUACCUCAGAUGCCACGACCACCUCUUUUUUUUUUUUUCCAGAAAACCAUCAUUCUGUUGACAAUUUUGGUCCUUUUGUCGAAACUCAGAGGUAUUAGUCCAUGACAAUGACAUUUAUAAAUUCUAUGGUAUUUAGGUAUCGACAUUUGAUGUUGAAUGUGGUGUCACUUUUGCCCCACUGUAAGAAGGAUAACAAGUUUGAAUCUAAAGCAAGUAAAGGUGCAACACUGAAUGAGCUUGUUGAACUCAAAGGCUAUUCUUCUUGCCUGUUUUUUGAGCACAGAAAACAUAAAGACCUUUAUCUAUGGAUGGCAAAGUGUCCCAAUGGUCCAUCAGUGAAGUUCUUAGUAAAUGCUGUGCACACCAUGGAAGAAUUGAAGCUUACUGGAAAUCAUUUGAAAGGCUCACGCCCUCUUUUGAAUUUCUUGACUAAUUUUAAUAGAGACCCCCACUGGAAACUUUUGAAAGAGAUAAUCAUGCAGUGGUGAGAGAAAAAGCUGAAACCCUUUAAAAAGAUAGCAAAAGCAAGGAAAAAAGGAUGGAAGUGUACCUCUUGGUAUUGACUUCCUCCUUUCUACAGUCGUUCUGCAUAGUUUUCUGCAAUAGUGACUACUCAAUUUCAUGCUAACAGUAACAAAUUAAGGAGCACCAUCUCAAAGUCCAAAUUGAAGACAACGAGGCUGAAUUCACCCCAGAGGAACUUGAUUCUCGGAAACGGUCACUAAAUCUACAAGACUGAGGUGGAAUUUGAUGAUCAUGCAUUAUUGCACUGCCUGUUUGUUUGGUUACUUUGGUCACAUGUUAUUAGAUGGUGGGGUUUAGUUUGGGCAUUACCAGGCUUUGUUAAUGACUUACUCCAAUGGUGGGCCGGUGUAAAUCUGUCGAAACUAGAGAGGAAAAUCUGGAAUUCCAUUCUAUUUGCUGUUUUAUGGCGGAGGAAUCAAAGUUUGUGUUUGAAGCUAGGAUAAUCUAGAGAAUGGAGCUUCUGGUGCUAUCUACUCUUCAAUGGAAGAUGAAUUCUCUGACCCCACUUUCAUUUGGUGAUCACAUUGUGAGGAGAUUUGGAUUUAAGCCAGAUUUGCAUUUGGAGUUUUUGUGGAGGUGUAUGGUUGCACAAUCACUAGAUUUAUUCGAUAAAUCUUGAAAGUUGUUGAUAUGUUUAGAAAGUUAGAUAUUCAUAGUUUUGGAUGGUUUAAACUUUUUGUACAAUUUAGAACUUCAGGAUAUAAUUUUCGAAUGUUCAGAAUGUAUAGAUAAUUCUUGAAUGUUUAUAAUUUAUGGAUAUAGUUUCUUUUUAAUGUUUCAAACAAUAUUUUGGUGGUUGA
Molecule: non-coding RNA, 2417 nt
Organism: Camellia sinensis
Lineage: Eukaryota; Viridiplantae; Streptophyta; Magnoliopsida; Ericales; Theaceae
Source: RefSeq, a predicted model, not a curated record